This 303-nucleotide ribosomal RNA is filed under the name uncultured bacterium. RNAcentral describes it as "bacterial SSU rRNA". It matches the Rfam family "Bacterial small subunit ribosomal RNA", at positions 355 to 673 of the family's 1533-position model. The record is from RNAcentral.
UGGGGAAUAUUGCACAAUGGGGGGAACCCUGAUGCAGCGACGCCGCGUGGGCGAGGAAGUAUUUCGGUAUGUAAAGCCCUAUCGGCAGGGAAGAAGAAAUGACGGUACCUGAAUAAGAAGCACCGGCUAAAUACGUGCCAGCAGCCGCGGUAAUACGUAUGGUGCAAGCGUUAUCCGGAUUUACUGGGCGUAAAGGGAGCGCAGGCGGCGCGCCAAGUCUGAUGUGAAACCCCGGGGCUCAACCCCGGGCAUGCAUUGGAAACUGGCGGGCUGGAGUGCCGGAGAGGUAAGCGGAAUUCCUAG